Perca flavescens (yellow perch) is the source of this 760-nucleotide long non-coding RNA. RefSeq lists it as uncharacterized. NCBI's taxonomy places the organism in Eukaryota, Metazoa, Chordata, Actinopteri, Perciformes, Percidae. The record is from RefSeq and is a predicted model, not a curated record. The transcript is spliced from 4 exons.
CAGACCAGUCCAGAGCUCGGCCCACUCACCAAGGUUGGAGAGUGUCAAAAACACCGCCUGGUGUGCGCAACAGUAUCCUCCUUGGACAAGUGUGUUAAUUGUGUGGGACCCGUAUCUUCCUUCAAGUGGUUUGGCUAUCGAUGCACAGUUUGUUCAGGGGUCUGGCAUAAAUCCUGCCUCAAGCAAAUUACAGGAGAUUACUUGCACAGCACAGGCACAGCAGUCUUCUGAGGCUUCUGAGGAUGAACGGAUGUCAGAUCAGGACAAAAUUCCACAUCCACAAUUGGACGAAAUAUCAUCUGAUGAUGCUGAGGACAUGUCUGACAAGGAAUACAUACCUGACUCUGAGGAUGAUGAAUAUGAUUCAGAUGCCAGCAUACACUUAAUGUCAAGUAAGGCAAGAGCUGCACAUAUUCAAGUAAAAACGGUAAUACCUGAUGUUGGAACAUCUUAUGGGUCAGACAUAGGCACCCCAGUUGUGCCCAGUACAUCACAAUGUUGGCCACCCCUUAAAAAUAAGAUGAUUCCCAAUGCUGCUGACACAUCUAAUUCAGCGAAUUCAUCAAAGGAAAAGCCAGAGGAAGAAACUGUGACUCAUGAACAAGAAUUACCACAUCUGAUUAUGAGUAAAAAGAAUUACUGUUAGGUUUGUGGUAAGCCACAAAGCAAAAUUUCCCGCCACUUGAAAACACACAAGACACAUGCUGAAAUUGUCCAUGCAUUUUCCCUUCCUGAGGACUCAAAAGAGCGCAAGAUAUUA